AUUGGUAGGAAACAAUUAUCAUACAAGAAACGAUAUUAUCACAAAUGAUAUAUGAAAAAUAUACAAAUGAAUACCGCAGAAUAAGGCUCACAGCAGUCACCUGGGUUUUAACUGUUUUUAGCAUGAACUACAUGUAGUUGGAUAAUAUCAACAUUAGAAAUCUACAUUCUACGAACUACUCAAAUCAUAACUGCUAAUCAGCAACCUAUUUUAACAACGACCGUUAGACUCAAGAGAGUGACAUGAUUGCAAUGACUACUAGUGGAUCAGGAUCAGGAUCUCCACGUUUGGUUCAAGGAAGCAUUCCUCUUUAAAUCCAACUUGGUGUACUUUUUGGCAAAGGUCGUUUUGAAGAAGUACCUUUAGCAAGGAGAACAAGUAGCUGUGAAAAUAUUUUCAUUUAGAGAAACUGAGAUAUUCCGAACAGUUAUGCUGAGACAUGAUAAUAUUUUAGGAUUUUUUGUUGAUAAUAAUAGAGAUAAUGGCACUUAAACUCAAAUAUACUAUUACUAAUAUACUAUUACUAUGACUAGUAACUAAUUACCAUGAAAAUAGAUCAUUAUUUGAUUUUCUGUGUAAAUACAAUAGAUACAAAAGGAAUAAUUCCUAUACCUCUGUCUAAGACGUAUAAGUCUAGACAUUUCUCAGAUCAAAGAUCAUAACAAUUUUGCAAGAUCAUUAAAGGUAAACCAGCCGGCAGCCAUUGCAUAUCAAGAUCUCAAAUUGAAAAAUAUUUUAGUCAAUUUCAAUAGUACUUGCGCUAUUGGAGAUUUAGGACUUGCUGUACAAUAUGAUACUUCUAUGGAUGCAGUUGAUAUACCACAUACCACAGGUUUUGGAAGAAACAAUCAACAUGAAUCAUUUUGUUUCGUUUAAGAUAUGUUAUAUUUAUGCUUUGGGUGUAAUACUAUAGAAAGUAACUCGGAGGUGUUCUGUUGAUAAAAUACACAAAGAAUAUCAAUUACCCUAUUAUAAUAGCGUACCACUUGAUGCACUGAUUGGUUAAAUGGGCAAAGUUGUUUGUUUAGAAAUGAAAUUACCACCUACACCAGAGAGAUGGAAUGCAUACCUGUGUUUGCAAACAGUGAUCAAAUCAAUGUAAGAAUGUUGGUACCAUACUGCAUGUGUUUGUCUUACAGCAUUAUGCAUUAAAAAAACUCAAGCCACUUUGGGUGGCACCAUGCAGUCAUAAUAUAUAUAUUACUAUUUGAGCACUUAAUGAUGUCAUAAAAGAUAAACCCCUUGCUGCCAAUAGAUUAUCUACAAAAAUAAUGUUUACAACUUCUGGAUGUGUAAUUUAAGUUCCAUCGUUUAUGAAAUCUCUUUUGACAUUGUACGUGCUAUUUUAUUCUUCAAAACUGUGAUGUUAUAGGAAAUAUUUUUUAUUUAAUAAGUAAUUUGAGUGUUUUUGUAAUCAUCAUACUGAUUAACAUAACAAAACUUUUCAGUGUCGCAAAUUGUAUCACUUUAUUAACAAUAAUUUAUUUAAACUCAAAAUAUAAAUAAAAAUAUUUAUUAGUAUUGUUGCA
This is a long non-coding RNA of Myzus persicae (green peach aphid), 1529 nucleotides long. RefSeq lists it as uncharacterized. The transcript has 7 exons. The record is from RefSeq and is a predicted model, not a curated record. Lineage: Eukaryota; Metazoa; Arthropoda; Insecta; Hemiptera; Aphididae.